ACUCCAGCUCCGCAGGUGUAUAUCUAUGCUGCUGCGGUUAAAAAGCUCGUAGUUGGAUCUGCGUGCUCGGAACUGGUUGGCUCACUGAGUUCAAACUGGUCUCCGGCGCUUUAUUGGCUGGUUUUCCCUUGAUGCUCUUAACCGGGUGUCUUGGGCGGCUAGCACGUUUACUUUGAAAAAAUUAGAGUGCUCAAUACAGGCAUAAAGCCUUGAAUAGUGGUGCAUGGAAUAAUAGAAUAGGACCUCGGCUCUAUUUUGUUGGUUUUCGGAACGCGAGGUAAUGAUUAAGAGGGACAGACGGGGGCAUUCGUAUUGCGACGUUAGAGGUGAAAUUCUUGGAUCGUCGCAAGACGGACGACUGCGAAAGCAUUUGCCAAGAAUGUUUUCAUUAAUCAAGAACGAAAGUUAGAGGUUCGAAGGCGAUCAGAUACCGCCCUAGUUCUAACCGUAAACGAUGCCAACUAGCGAUUCGCAGGCGUUAAACAACGACCUUGCGGGCAGCUUCCCGGAAACGAAAGUGUUCGGGUUCCGGGGGAAGUAUGGUUGCAAAGCUGAAACUUAAAGGAAUUGACGGAAGGGCACCACCAGGAGUGGAGCCUGCGGCUUAAUUUGACCCAACACGGGAAAACUCACCCGGCCCGGACACCGUAAGGAUUGACAGAUUGAGAGCUCUUUCUUGAUUCGGUGGGUGGUGGUGCAUGGCCGUUCUUAGUUGGUGGAGCGAUUUGUCUGGUUUAUUCCGAUAACGAACGAGACUCUGGCCUACUAAAUAGUGGGCGGAUUCUUUCUGUCCGCAACACUUCUUAGAGGGACAAGCGGUGUUCAGCCGCACGAGAUUGAGCAAUAACAGGUCUGUGAUGCCCUUAGAUGUCCGGGGCUGCACGCGCGCUACACUGAAGGAAUCAGCGUGCUUUCUGACCUUGCCCGAAAGGGCUGGGUAACCCGAUGAAAAUCCUUCGUGAUUGGGAUAGGGACUUGCAAUUAUUUCCCUUGAACGAGGAAUUCCCAGUAAGUGUGGGUCAUAAGCUCGCGUUGAUUACGUCCCUGCCCUUUGUACACACCGCCCGUCGCUGCCCGGAACUGAGCCGUUUCGAGAAGAACAGGGACCGUCGUUGAAGGGCCUUAACGGGCUUUUCUCUGAUAGAAACUGUU
RNAcentral lists this ribosomal RNA (1152 nucleotides) under metagenome. RNAcentral's name for it is "SSU rRNA". It matches the Rfam family "Eukaryotic small subunit ribosomal RNA", at positions 582 to 1758 of the family's 1831-position model. The record is from RNAcentral.